UGUAUUAUAAGGGAAAGCUAAAG
Molecule: non-coding RNA, 23 nt
Filed under: Cricetulus griseus (Chinese hamster)
Lineage: Eukaryota; Metazoa; Chordata; Mammalia; Rodentia; Cricetidae
Source: RNAcentral